RNAcentral lists this ribosomal RNA (468 nucleotides) under uncultured bacterium. RNAcentral's name for it is "partial 16S ribosomal RNA". It matches the Rfam family "Bacterial small subunit ribosomal RNA", at positions 28 to 507 of the family's 1533-position model. The record is from RNAcentral.
GACGAACGCUGGCGGCGUGCUUAACACAUGCAAGUCGAACGGAAAGGCCCUGCUUUUGUGGGGUGCUCGAGUGGCGAACGGGUGAGUAACACGUGAGUAACCUGCCCUUGACUUUGGGAUAACUUCAGGAAACUGGGGCUAAUACCGGAUAGGAGCUCCUGCUGCAUGGUGGGGGUUGGAAAGUUUCGGCGGUUGGGGAUGGACUCGCGGCUUAUCAGCUUGUUGGUGGGGUAGUGGCUUACCAAGGCUUUGACGGGUAGCCGGCCUGAGAGGGUGACCGGCCACAUUGGGACUGAGAUGCGGCCCAGACUCCUACGGGAGGCAGCAGUGGGGAAUAUUGCACAAUGGGCGGAAGCCUGAUGCAGCAACGCCGCGUGCGGGAUGACGGCCUUCGGGUUGUAAACCGCUUUCGCCUGUGACGAAGCGCGAGUGACGGUAAUGGGUAAAGAAGCACCGGCUAACUACGUG